AGAGUUUGAUCAUGGCUCAGAACGAACGCUGGCGGCAUGCCUAACACAUGCAAGUCGAACGAGACCUUCGGGUCUAGUGGCGCACGGGUGACGUAACGUCGUGGGAAUCUGCCCUUGGGUGCGGAAUAACUUCCCGAAAGGGAUGCUAAUACCGCAUAAUGUCGUAAGACCAAAGUAUUUAUCGCCCAAGGAUGAGCCCGUCGUAAGAUUAGCUAGUUGGUGGGGUAAAAGCCUACCAAGGUGACGAUCUUUAGCUGGUCUGAGAGGAUGAUCAGCCACACUGGGACUGAGACACGGCCCAGUACUCACUACGGGAGGCAGCAGUGGGGUAAUAUUGGACAAUGGUGCGUAAGCCUGAUCCAGCAAUGCCGUCGUGAGCUGCAUGAGAGGUCCCUAGGGCUUGUUUGAAGCUCUUUUACCCGGG
This 424-nucleotide ribosomal RNA is filed under the name Sphingomonadaceae bacterium A-18-25-2. RNAcentral's name for it is "bacterial SSU rRNA". It matches the Rfam family "Bacterial small subunit ribosomal RNA", at positions 8 to 444 of the family's 1533-position model. The record is from RNAcentral. Lineage: Bacteria; Pseudomonadati; Pseudomonadota; Alphaproteobacteria; Sphingomonadales; Sphingomonadaceae.